GACGAACGCUGGCGGCGUGCCUAAUACAUGCAAGUCGAGCGCUUCUUUCCUCCCGAGUGCUUGCACUCAAUUGGAAAGAGGAGUGGCGGACGGGUGAGUAACACGUGGGUAACCUACCCAUCAGAGGGGGAUAACACUUGGAAACAGGUGCCAAUACCGCAUAACAGUUUAUGCCGCAUGGCAUAAGAGUGAAAGGCGCUUUCGGGUGUCGCUGAUGGAUGGACCCGCGGUGCAUUAGCUAGUUGGUGAGGUAACGGCUCACCAAGGCCACGAUGCAUAGCCGACCUGAGAGGGUGAUCGGCCACACUGGGACUGAGACACGGCCCAGACUCCUACGGGAGGCAGCAGUAGGGAAUCUUCGGCAAUGGACGAAAGUCUGACCGAGCAACGCCGCGUGAGUGAAGAAGGUUUUCGGAUCGUAAAACUCUGUUGUUAGAGAAGAACAAGGACGUUAGUAACUGAACGUCCCCUGACGGUAUCUAACCAGAAAGCCACGGCUAACUACGUG
This 508-nucleotide ribosomal RNA is filed under the name uncultured bacterium. RNAcentral's name for it is "partial 16S ribosomal RNA". It matches the Rfam family "Bacterial small subunit ribosomal RNA", at positions 28 to 507 of the family's 1533-position model. The record is from RNAcentral.